RNAcentral lists this ribosomal RNA (660 nucleotides) under Tricholoma matsutake. Its description in RNAcentral is "partial small subunit ribosomal RNA". It matches the Rfam family "Bacterial small subunit ribosomal RNA", at positions 409 to 941 of the family's 1533-position model. Lineage: Eukaryota; Fungi; Basidiomycota; Agaricomycetes; Agaricales; Tricholomataceae. The record is from RNAcentral.
UCAUUAUGAGUCAUUAAUUUGGUGAUUAUGAUAACAUAAGGGAAAAAAAAUGAUAUUACCUUAUUAUUAGUGUUGUCCAAAACUGGUGCCAGAAGACUCGGUAAGACCAGAGACGCAAACGUUAGUCAUCUUAAUCAGGCGUAAAGGGUGUGUAGGCUGCUUUAAAAGUUUAAAUCUUUUUAAUAGCUCUUUUGCCGUUGUCCUGCCAUUAUUUAUUUUAUUUAUAAAAUAAUAAACAAUAAUGAAUAUAAAGGCAGUACAUUUUUAAUUUUAUUAAUAUUAAUUUAAUUUAAUAAUUAUAAAGGGGACAAAAAAGAUAUCCCGGUUUAAGUAAAAAGAAUAAAAUGAAUUAAAGCUAGAAUCAAAUUGAGGAUAAACCAAAUAAUACUUAGAGUAGGGCCGAUAUCCGCAGAUACUAAGGGGAAUACUAAAGGUGAAAGCUUUUUAUCUACUAUUGAUUGACGCUGAGAAACGAAGGUGAGAACAGGAAAUAGGAUUUGAUACCCAGAUACCUCUCACUGUCAACGAUGAAUGGUGGUUGUUAGUUUUAAUAAAAACUGGUAACGAUGUUAACACGAUAACCAUUCCGCCUUGCGAGUACGGUUGCAAAACUGAAACCAAAAAAAUUAGUCGGUUUCGAAGCAAACGAAGUGAAGCAUG